Non-coding RNA from Ictidomys tridecemlineatus (thirteen-lined ground squirrel), 73 nucleotides. Lineage: Eukaryota; Metazoa; Chordata; Mammalia; Rodentia; Sciuridae. The record is from Rfam.
GGAGAUACAGCUCAGUUGGUAGAGUGCUUGCCUUGCAUGCACAAGGCCCUGGGUUCAAUCCCCAGUACCACAA